Molecule: long non-coding RNA, 1455 nt
Filed under: Anas platyrhynchos platyrhynchos (common mallard)
Lineage: Eukaryota; Metazoa; Chordata; Aves; Anseriformes; Anatidae
Description: lncRNA (ENSAPLG00000021409.1)
Source: RNAcentral
AUGGGGUCCUGUUAUACCAUGAGAAAGAAAACCUUUAUUUCAACAGGCAACAACUUAGUAAGGAAACUCCAGGAAUGUUUUUUUGAUUUUAUUUAUUUAUUUAUUUAUUUUCCCUAGCAGACCUAUAAACACAUUUGGGUAGAAGGGCAAAGGCUGGGUUCCUGCCCUCCUCAUCUCAGCUGUCCAUGGGGACUUGUCAGAUUUGUUGCCAUCACGUCAGCAGGGCAGGAGGCAGCUAAAAUCAGCUUCCUGCCAUAAGGGAAUACGCGGCAGAUGGCACUGUUUCUUUAGCAGUCUGCACCAGCCUCCUUUUCCCUUUGUGGGAAGUUCCAGGACGAUUUUCUUAAAGAACAUAUGUGGUUUGGUCUCGAGGUGCCUGGCCACCUGCCUGGAAACCAAAGCACACCAUUUGGCACCAUUUGUGCAAAAUCACAGAAUCACAGAAUUUCUAGGUUGGAAGAGACCUCAAGAUCAUCGAGUCCAACCUCUGACCUAACACUAACAGUCCCCACUAAACCAUAUCCCUAAGCUCUACAUCUAAACGUCUUUUGAAGACUUCCAGGGAUGGUGACUCCACCACUUCCCUGGGCAGCCUGUUCCAGUGCCUAACAACCCUUUCAGUAAAGAAGUUCUUCCUAACAUCUAACCUAAAACUCCCCUGGCACAACUUAAGCCCAUUCCCCCUCGUCCUGUCACCAGGCACGUGGGAGAACAGGCCAACCCCCACCUCACUACAGCCUCCUUUAAGGUAUCUGUAGAGAGCAAUAAGGUCCCCCCUGAGCCUCCUCUUCUCCAGGCUGAAGAGAGUUCAGUGCUUCAGAUGGGGAAGGUGAGUGUCCUGCAAGGGGAAUGGGGGCUGCCUCACUCCAUUGAUAAUAAGCUCCAGGUAAAGGCAAACCUGGAUAUCACCCACAAUGAAGGUCCAGAUGCCUGAACCAAGGUUGCAGGCAAGAUCCUGGAUCCAAAAGGUAGGACUGUUGUCUGAGUGAAGCAAGCCACAUAUCUUCUGUGCUUGAUCAGGACGUGAAGCACUGCUUUCCCUCUGGAAUAUGGGAAAAACAUGAGGUGUGGGUGCUGGAACCCACAGAGUAUUUGUCCAUGAAGUAGGAAACCUUCUCCUGAGGCUGAGACUGCUGACACUGAUUUUUACCUCUUCCUGUGGAAAUGGUGAAAUAGUACAGAAAGAAAAGUGGCUUUCAUGGAGGAUGCAAUAUCAAAGCAAGCCUGACAUGAGACCCUAGAAGUUAGGUCCUCAUAGGUGAUUGAGGCAUUGCUCUCCUUUGUACCACUUCUUCCUAGCUCUUUGGGUCAGAAAGUAGUUAAUUGGUUAAGGUGCCACUAGGAUUAGGUGACUGUGGAGUGCUGAGUUUACAGUCACAGUUUUGAAGUUAAGUAUUAAAUCCUGUUUUGGAAACUAAAGAUAGAUCUUUGCUAUGGAAGUCAGGAUUUCUUCAC